RNAcentral lists this long non-coding RNA (1974 nucleotides) under Androctonus crassicauda. The record is from RNAcentral. Lineage: Eukaryota; Metazoa; Arthropoda; Arachnida; Scorpiones; Buthidae.
GCUGUGUCCUUCCCCUUGUUAGCAUAUAUUGGCAAAAAUUAAUAUGAAAUAAUGAUAUUUUAGAUAGACUGAUAUACCACAACGUUAUCAGUCUCUCAGAAAUUUAGAAAGCAAUCUCACAUUUUUAGCCUGUAUAUAACUUUAAUAAAUAUACCAUCUUUAGUUUAUUUUCUGAAAAUUUAUAUUAUGUAUACUGUACUAUUAUAAAUUUAUAUACAGUAAGCUAUACAAUUGAAAUAACAGCAUUACUAUUUUCCAAUUUUUAAUAUGUCUCUAGUGAGUUUUUCUGCAACAAUUCUUCUAAAUGCAUCUAGGAAUGUGUGUUUAUCUACAAGAUGUAACUGAAGUAGUGAUUAUCAGGUUUUGGUUCUUAAAAAGGAUAAAAUAUAUUAGCUGGUUCUGUCGAGAUCUUCUGACUGCUGCUAAAACAUUGAAUCACCAACUAAACAUCCUGAAUCACUCUCUAAGCAUUUGGUGGGACUAUAAAUAUAGUUCUAAUUCUCUGAAGGAAUUCUAUAUAUCAGUGAUAAAGAUCAGUUAAUUACUAAUUUGUCGUUAAUUAAAUUCUUAAAUCUUUCUAAUUAUCCAAAACUAACUUUUUAAUAAUUUAGAACAUACUUGUAAUAAUCAUUAUAUAUGUAAAAUCAUUGUUUAAUAGAAGCAAAAAAUCGAAAUAAUGAUAAUGCUGAAAUUACUUGCUCUUGUGUUUUCCAGAUUUACUAAGUCGUCACUUAAUUGCUUUUAUUUCUUCUACGUGAAUGACGAGUAUUCAAUUUCAACGAUGUUAUUUAAGUGUGUCUUCAGAUUCCAGGAAUUUGAUCUGAACGUUAAUUCCUUUCCAGUUUUCAAGAUAAUUUUUCUUAAACGCCAUUUAAUUUUUUCACUUUUAAGGGGUACAUAUUUUUGUCUUUAUUAUUUUAGCGCGUUGGGUAGUUCAACCUAAUAAAAAAAAACAAGCUAGACAUAAUUUUUACUUUAUCGUGCCAUUAUAUAGUAUUCAUCUCUGAUGCUGAGAUUAUGAGCGUGCUAAAAAAAUGCUUCAAGUGGAACCGAUGAUGCUAUUUAAAAUAAUGAUGAUAAAAGGAAAAAAAGUGCUGUUAUUCAUAAUUGCUAUUAUCCGUUCUAUUGAAAAUCAGUCGUUAAUUUACAAUAUUUGUUUUAUCUUUAUGUGAAACUGUCUGGGUAUUUCUGGCAAAUAUAUAAAUUUUUAAAUUGUCCUGACGUCAUCUAUUAUACCGCCAUUGUUACAUCAUAAUAACGUCAAACAUUGAUGGCAUAUUGUGACAUCAUUCACUGUUAUGUCACGAUGAUGCCAUAUCGAUGCGACGGUGAUGUAUGUAUCUUUGGGAUCCUAUGACCAAUUCCAGAUUUAUUAUCACAACAAUUAUCUGACUUAUCCGGGAUUAAGCACGUAUUUUUAUUGUUAUCUUAAAAUGCCCAAUAUCUGAGAUAGUUUUGAAUCAAUUAGGACACCCUAUGUUACCUUUAGGGUCUUAAGAAGUUAAUCUACAAAGUUUGGUUCCGAUAGAUCAAAGGUUGUGAAAAAUGGAAAGACAGAUAUUCUCUUGUAAACCGAUAGUUGCCAAUUUUGUUAAUGCAAGCUAUUUUUAUGGGACAACGCGAAUAAAUUUAUUGAUUCCAUCAAAGAAAAACCACUCGAGCUAGUAGAACCACUCACACAUAAAAACAAAGUAACUAAAUUCAAAAUAUAUGACGUUCAGAGUACAAAGUUUAGAAAUAUAAAACACGAUGAUCAAAAAUAAUAAGCAGCGAAUUAACUACUAAAAUAUUAAGCUAUCUGUUAAAUAAUGUACUGUAUUUAUACUUUAAAAAAUAGUUACCAUUCAAAAUUUAGUAUGUAUAUAUACAGUAAAAAUUUAUUCGAAUAUUCUAACUACUAAUAAACUUAAAAAAAAAAAAAAAAAUAGAUUAAUGCAAGUUAUAAUAAAAAAAAUAGUUAGAGAGGUGAAAUGA